AGUGUAUCGGGCUCCUUAGAGUGAGUUUCCCCGUAUUGCAUCCCAAGAAAACCCCGGGUACACUGCUCCGACAGCAGGAGCUCAUGCGAGACACAGAUUUAUUUCCAAAUAUUUCCUCAGCAUAUUGUCAUUUUCUGCUUGUGAUAAUAUAGUAUACAGAGCUUUAGACCUUAACGAUGCCCAUGUAUGCCAUAAUUCAUUUCCAUAAAUGUCUUAAAGGGACACAGUCAGGGCUGUAAACAAGGCAUUUGCCUAGCAUGGCACUUUCAGGGAGCGGCAAAAAACGCCGCCCUAAGUGCCCAGGCAAGUGCCUUGUAUUCCUCACGUCCUGGGUAGGAGCAAGAGGUGGCCGGCUGGCUCAAAGUGUAGGCAGGUGGUGAGGGAGCGCAGUCCUUCAAGCUCCCUUCUAUGAUGCCGGGAGCCGGAAUUUGACGUCCCUCCGGCCCCCAGCAGUGCGCGAGUUAGCAGAACAGGAAGAACUCAGUUCCCUAGCCACCUCCAUUAAGCUUCUGCC
Non-coding RNA from Pelobates cultripes (western spadefoot toad), 514 nucleotides. The record is from the annotation of a GenBank genome assembly. Lineage: Eukaryota; Metazoa; Chordata; Amphibia; Anura; Pelobatidae.